AGAGCGAACGCUGGCGGCAGGCCUAACACAUGCAAGUCGAGCGCCCGUAGCAAUACGGGAGCGGCAGACGGGAUAGUAACACGUGGGAACGCGCCCUUCGGUUCGGAAUAACUCAGGGAAACUUGAGCUAAUACCGGAUAAGCCCUUACGGGGAAAGAUUUAUCGCCAAAGGAACGGCCCGCGUCCGAUUAGCUAGUUGGUGAGGUAAUGGCUCACCAAGGCGACGAUCGGUAGCUGGUCUGAGAGGAUGACCAGCAUCACUGGGACUGAGACACGGCCCAGACUCCUACGGGAGGCAGCAGUGGGGAAUAUUGGACAAUGGGCGCAAGCCUGAUCCAGCCAUGCCGCGUGGAUGAUGAAGGCCCUAGGGUUGUAAAGUCCUUUUAACGGGAAGAUAAUGACGGUACCCGUAGAAUAAGCCCGGCUAACUUCGCGCCAGCAGCCGC
RNAcentral lists this ribosomal RNA (446 nucleotides) under uncultured bacterium. RNAcentral's name for it is "SSU rRNA". It matches the Rfam family "Bacterial small subunit ribosomal RNA", at positions 26 to 518 of the family's 1533-position model. The record is from RNAcentral.